GAGUAUUUGGAUACUCGUUUAGUUGAUUUGUUUCUGCCAUCUGUUAGGGCGUUUGAGAAAGAAUUGUAUUUGUGAAUUUGUGUUAUUUUGUAAGCCAGCAGGGGCUUUAUGCUCAGCUCGGCAGAAGGAGAGUGUAGCUGGCCGAGUGCAGCACGACUCGUCCGCCUAGGGUGGCUUGGCCACGAUGGGCCAAGACCACGAGAACGGUUUCGCAUUGAGUUGCGGAUACAAACCAUUUCAAGUUGAUUGUACAAUCUACCCAAAUUUUUGAUACCUGGCCAACUGGCUGUAGUGCGCCCAUGCGACGACUACGAAACUGAUAUUGGAUAAUUCGGUGAUGACGGCGGAAGAUCUGAGUUUAGAGGACCUUGUACCAACGGAUUUGAAACGUUAAAGUGCAAGACUCUGAGUGAAGUCCAACGUUCAUGUCAAACGCCUUAUUUGUGUAUUGAUAAGUAUGAAUGUGUAAUAUUGUAUUGACUAACCCCUGAAAUUAUCAUUUGGCUGAAACGUCUUUAUAAUUAAAUCGACGUCUUUUAAGGAAUUUUAUAUAAA
Cloeon dipterum is the source of this 555-nucleotide long non-coding RNA. RefSeq lists it as uncharacterized. NCBI's taxonomy places the organism in Eukaryota, Metazoa, Arthropoda, Insecta, Ephemeroptera, Baetidae. The record is from RefSeq and is a predicted model, not a curated record. The transcript has 2 exons.